UACAGAGGGGGCAAGCGUUGUUCGGAAUCACUGGGCGUAAAGGGCGCGUAGGUGGCGGGCCAAGUCCAUGGUGAAAGCUCGAUGCUCAACAUCGAGUCGGCCACGGAUACUGGUUCGCUCGAGCACUGUAGAGGCUAAUGGAAUUCCGGGUGUAGCGGUGGAAUGCGUAGAGAUCCGGAAGAACACCGGUGGCGAAGGCGGUUAGCUGGGCAGUUGCUGACACUGAGGCGCGACAGCGUGGGGAGCAAACAGG
This 253-nucleotide ribosomal RNA is filed under the name uncultured bacterium. Its description in RNAcentral is "partial 16S ribosomal RNA". It matches the Rfam family "Bacterial small subunit ribosomal RNA", at positions 524 to 776 of the family's 1533-position model. The record is from RNAcentral.